GGAAUCAUUGGGUUUAAAGGGUCCGCAGGCGGUUUUUUAAGUCAGAGGUGAAAUCCUACAGCUCAACUGUAGAAUUGCCUUUGAUACUGAAAGACUUGAGUUAUUGUGAAGUGGUUAGAAUGUGUGGUGUAGCGGUGAAAUGCAUAGAUAUCACACAGAAUACCAAUUGACGAAGGCAGAUCACUAACAAUUAACUGACGCUCAGGGACGAAAGCGUGGGUAGCGAACAGGAUUAGAUACCCUGGUAGUCCACGCCGUAAACGAUGAGAACUAGACGUUGGGUAUUUAUACCUGGUGUCGCAGCUAACGCAUUAAGUUCUCCGCCGUGGGGAGUACGGCCGCAAGAUUAGAAACUCAAAGUAAUUGACGGGGGCCCGCACAAGCGGUGGAGCAUGUGGUUUAAUUCGAUGCAACGCGAAGAACCUUACCUACACUUGACAUCAUCAGAACUUGUUAGAGAUAACUCGGUGCCUUCGGGAACUGAUAGACAGGUGCUGCAUGGCU
RNAcentral lists this ribosomal RNA (504 nucleotides) under uncultured Flavobacteriaceae bacterium. RNAcentral describes it as "bacterial SSU rRNA". It matches the Rfam family "Bacterial small subunit ribosomal RNA", at positions 547 to 1050 of the family's 1533-position model. Lineage: Bacteria; Pseudomonadati; Bacteroidota; Flavobacteriia; Flavobacteriales; Flavobacteriaceae. The record is from RNAcentral.